GAUCAUGGCUCAGAUUGAACGCUGGCGGCAUGCCUAACACAUGCAAGUCGAGGGGUAGAGUUCUUCGGGACUUGAGACCGGCGCACGGGUGCGUAACGCGUAUGCAAUCUACCUUAUACAGGGGAAUAGCCCAGAGAAAUUUGGAUUAAUGCCCCAUAGUGUUAUCGAAUCGCAUGGUUUGAUAACUAAAGUUCCAACGGUAUAAGAUGAGCAUGCGUCCCAUUAGUUAGUUGGUAAGGUAACGGCUUACCAAGACAAUGAUGGGUAGGGGUCCUGAGAGGGAGAUCCCCCACACUGGUACUGAGACACGGACCAGACUCCUACGGGAGGCAGCAGUGAGGAAUAUUGGACAAUGGGCGCAAGCCUGAUCCAGCCAUGCCGCGUGCAGGAAGAAGCAUCUAUGGUGUGUAAACUGCUUUUGUACGGGAAGAAACACUCCUACGUGUAGGAGCUUGACGGUACCGUAAGAAUAAGGAUCGGCUAACUCCGUG
RNAcentral lists this ribosomal RNA (491 nucleotides) under uncultured bacterium. RNAcentral describes it as "bacterial SSU rRNA". It matches the Rfam family "Bacterial small subunit ribosomal RNA", at positions 15 to 507 of the family's 1533-position model. The record is from RNAcentral.